GACGAACGCUGGCGGCGUGCUUAACACAUGCAAGUCGAGCGGUAAGGCCCUUUCGGGGGUACACGAGCGGCGAACGGGUGAGUAACACGUGGGUGACCUGCCCUCAGCUCUGGGAUAAGCCUGGGAAACCGGGUCUAAUACUGGAUAUGACUCCAUGACGCAUGUUGUGGGGUGGAAAGCCUUGCGCGGCUGAGGAUGGGCCCGCGGCCUAUCAGCUUGUUGGUGGGGUGANGGCCUACCAAGGCGACGACGGGUAGCCGGCCUGAGAGGGCGACCGGCCACACUGGGACUGAGACACGGCCCAGACUCCUACGGGAGGCAGCAGUGGGGAAUCUUGCGCAAUGGGCGAAAGCCUGACGCAGCGACGCCGCGUGAGGGAUGACGGCCU
RNAcentral lists this ribosomal RNA (388 nucleotides) under uncultured bacterium. RNAcentral's name for it is "bacterial SSU rRNA". It matches the Rfam family "Bacterial small subunit ribosomal RNA", at positions 28 to 417 of the family's 1533-position model. The record is from RNAcentral.